UAUUUCUAAUGCGUUUUGAUUUUGUGAAAAAAGUUUGUGAGUGCUAGUUAGCCUUUGAAUGCUUUUGCUUUUAUUGUUGAUGGUUUGCAUUAUGGAGUUUCAGACUUCUCGUAUGCUGCUUAUUCCAUGAUGCUUGUUGGGAUUUUAUCGUCUGUAAUUGCAACUUGUUAUGAGAUGGCCAAAACCAUUGCAUUUUGCAAUAGUUGAUGAACUUGAUUAUGUCCUAAUUGAUGAGGGAAGAAACCCAUUGCUGAUAAGGGGUGAGGCUAGCAAGGAUGCUGCACGUAACACAGUUGCUGCUAAAGUAGCUGAGCUUCUCAUGCGUGGCCUCGUAUUUUACCUUUUUGCCCUUCUUUUUCCUUUUUGAUGUCUUGUUAUCCAUCUCCAUUGUAUGCGUAUCUCAUUGUUUGUUCCACUACACAUCAUGUAAAUUUAUAUAUUGUAACAAAUAGAAUUGUAAGACAUUAAAUUUUAUGAAAUGGAUUAUAUUUUUUGUA
Molecule: long non-coding RNA, 497 nt
Organism: Lactuca sativa (garden lettuce)
Lineage: Eukaryota; Viridiplantae; Streptophyta; Magnoliopsida; Asterales; Asteraceae
Source: RefSeq, a predicted model, not a curated record